UAGAGUUUGAUCCUGGCUCAGGACGAACGCUGGCGGCGUGCCUAAUACAUGCAAGUCGAGCGGACCGACGGGAGCUUGCUCCCUUAGGUCAGCGGCGGACGGGUGAGUAACACGUGGGUAACCUGCCUGUAAGACUGGGAUAACUCCGGGAAACCGGGGCUAAUACCGGAUGCUUGAUUGAACCGCAUGGUUCAAUCAUAAAAGGUGGCUUUUAGCUACCACUUACAGAUGGACCCGCGGCGCAUUAGCUAGUUGGUGAGGGAACGGCUCACCAAGGCGACGAUGCGUAGCCGACCUGAGAGGGUGAUCGGCCACACUGGGACUGAGACACGGCCCAGACUCCUACGGGAGGCAGCAGUAGGGAAUCUUCCGCAAUGGACGAAAGUCUGACGGAGCAACGCCGCGUGAGUGAUGAAGGUUUUCGGAUCGUAAAACUCUGUUGUUAGGGAAGAACAAGUACCGUUCGAAUAGGGCGGGACCUUGACGGGACCUAACCAGAAAGGCACGGGUAACUACGUGCCAGCAGCCGCGGUAAUACGUAGGUGGCAAGCGUUGUCCGGAAUUAUUGGGCGUAAAGCGCGCGCAGGCGGUUUCUUAAGUCUGAUGUGAAAGCCCCCGGCUCAACCGGGGAGGGUCAUUUGAGACUGGGGAACUUGAGUGCAGAAGAGGAGAGUGGAAUUCCACGUGUAGCGGUGAAAUGCGUAGAGAUGUGGAGGAACACCAGUGGCGAAGGCGACUCUCUGGUCUGUAACUGACGCUGAAGCGCGAAAGCGUGGGGAGCGAACAGGAUUAGAUACCCUGGUAGUCCACGCCGUAAACGAUGAGUGCUAAGUGUUAGAGGGUUUCCGCCCUUUAGUGCUGCAGCAAACGCAUUAAGCACUCCGCCUGGGGAGUACGGUCGCAAGACUG
This 909-nucleotide ribosomal RNA is filed under the name Bacillus licheniformis. RNAcentral describes it as "bacterial SSU rRNA". It matches the Rfam family "Bacterial small subunit ribosomal RNA", at positions 1 to 896 of the family's 1533-position model. Lineage: Bacteria; Bacillati; Bacillota; Bacilli; Caryophanales; Bacillaceae. The record is from RNAcentral.